RNAcentral lists this ribozyme (106 nucleotides) under Aedes aegypti (yellow fever mosquito). RNAcentral's name for it is "drz-agam-1 ribozyme". It matches the Rfam family "drz-agam-1 ribozyme". The record is from Rfam by way of RNAcentral. Lineage: Eukaryota; Metazoa; Arthropoda; Insecta; Diptera; Culicidae.
UGUCCAGUAACUCCUAUCCCUACCUCCCCGUGGUGCCGCCUGGGGUACGAGGGAAGAUCGGGUAACCAACCCUGGUGGAACCUUGGUCGUAUGCUGACAGGGAAGG